Poecilia reticulata (guppy) is the source of this 657-nucleotide non-coding RNA. NCBI's taxonomy places the organism in Eukaryota, Metazoa, Chordata, Actinopteri, Cyprinodontiformes, Poeciliidae. The record is from RefSeq and is a predicted model, not a curated record.
UCAUCUUCAUGCUGCAUUUCACUUGUUUUGUUUUCCCUUCUAAAAUGAUCCUGGUCCUUUUUCCAGGCUUCUCGUCGUUACAUACCCUGCUAAGUUCUUUGCAUUUCACACCGUGUUAGAUAGUAGUGGAAGAUGUUUUCAUGUUCCAUUUUUCAACACAAAAGCUGCAAGACUAAAAACCUUUUUAAAUCAUGUAAAAACACUGACAAUAUUUCAACUUUGUCCAACUCAGUCUGUCAUGUUCAACAUCUGUUUUCAUCAAGCGUCUGCAUUUUAUUGAAGACCCUGGGAUUUGGUCAUUCUCUGUGGCGCAGUCAUCGUCUUUGAGUGCUGGUUUAGAUUCCCCGAGAAGCUGACGAAGGUCACUGAAGAAGCAGAUUAUGACGACAGAGUAACACAAUACACAAAAUCACAAGGCAACAAUAAAGAUGUUACUCUCAGAAGGAGGAUUUAUAUAUUUCUUCAUUCUUUUUUCUGUUUCUGCAUGUGUUGUUGUUUAUAGUAAUUUGUAAUGUUUUGUUUAGCUAAACCAUUCAAGCCACUAAAGGUUGUUCAGAAGAAGUUGAAUAAAAUGUCUGCAAGGCUGUAAAUGUUGCUUUUUCUGCAUGAAAAAGAGAAGAAACGUAAAGUAUGCCAAAUAAAAUGCAAAUAUUUUUG